RNAcentral lists this ribosomal RNA (450 nucleotides) under uncultured bacterium. RNAcentral describes it as "bacterial SSU rRNA". It matches the Rfam family "Bacterial small subunit ribosomal RNA", at positions 23 to 518 of the family's 1533-position model. The record is from RNAcentral.
CUCAGAACGAACGCUGGCGGCAGGCCUAACACAUGCAAGUCGAGCGCGCCCUUCGGGGUGAGCGGCGGACGGGUUAGUAACGCGUGGGAACGUACCCUUUGGUAGGGAAUAGCCACUGGAAACGGUGAGUAAUACCCUAUGAGCCCUUCGGGGGAAAGAUUUAUCGCCAAAGGAUCGGCCCGCGUUAGAUUAGGUAGUUGGUGGGGUAAUGGCCUACCAGGCCUACGAUCUAUAGCUGGUUUUAGAGGAUGAUCAGCAACACUGGGACUGAGACACGGCCCAGACUCCUACGGGAGGCAGCAGUGGGGAAUCUUGGACAAUGGGGGCAACCCUGAAUCCAGCCAUGCCGCGUGAGUGAAGAAGGCCUUAGGGUCGUAAAGCUCUUUCGCCUGUGAAGAUAAUGACGGUAGCAGGUAAAGAAACCCCGGCUAACUCCGUGCCAGCAGCCGC